This 495-nucleotide ribosomal RNA is filed under the name uncultured bacterium. Its description in RNAcentral is "partial 16S ribosomal RNA". It matches the Rfam family "Bacterial small subunit ribosomal RNA", at positions 28 to 507 of the family's 1533-position model. The record is from RNAcentral.
GACGAACGCUGGCGGCGUGCCUAAUACAUGCAAGUAGAACGCUGAAGGAGGAGCUUGCUUCUCUGGAUGAGUUGCGAACGGGUGAGUAACGCGUAGGUAACCUGCCUGGUAGCGGGGGAUAACUAUUGGAAACGAUAGCUAAUACCGCAUAACAGUAGAUAUCGCAUGAUAUCUACUUGAAAGGUGCAAUUGCAUCACUACCAGAUGGACCUGCGUUGUAUUAGCUAGUUGGUGAGGUAACGGCUCACCAAGGCGACGAUACAUAGCCGACCUGAGAGGGUGAUCGGCCACACUGGGACUGAGACACGGCCCAGACUCCUACGGGAGGCAGCAGUAGGGAAUCUUCGGCAAUGGACGGAAGUCUGACCGAGCAACGCCGCGUGAGUGAAGAAGGUUUUCGGAUCGCAAAGCUCUGUUGUAAGAGAAGAACGAGUGUGAGAGUGGAAAGUUCACACUGUGACGGUAUCUUACCAGAAAGGGACGGCUAACUACGUG